UUUUAGAGCCAUACCACCCUGAAUGUGCCCAAUCUUAUUUGGUCUCAGAAGCUAAGCAGGGUUGAGCCUGGUUAGUACUUGGAUAGGAGAAAUCUGAAUUUUGGAACACUCUUUAAA
Molecule: ribosomal RNA, 117 nt
Filed under: Prolemur simus (greater bamboo lemur)
Lineage: Eukaryota; Metazoa; Chordata; Mammalia; Primates; Lemuridae
Source: RNAcentral